Ficedula albicollis (Collared flycatcher) is the source of this 631-nucleotide long non-coding RNA. RefSeq lists it as uncharacterized. NCBI's taxonomy places the organism in Eukaryota, Metazoa, Chordata, Aves, Passeriformes, Muscicapidae. The record is from RefSeq and is a predicted model, not a curated record. The transcript is spliced from 4 exons.
GCGGGCGGUGAGCUCAGAGCUGCGACUUUGGGAUGGGCAUUGCCCUCCGGGCCGACCCCGAGUAGCUUGCCCGGAGCAGUCGCUAGCAAAAACAGCCUUGCCAAAGCUCGGCGACGCCUCUCUCCUGUCUCCGCUACCAGAAAGAACGAGUGCACCUCAUUUAAAAAAAAAACAACAAAACACCAAAACCCAAACUCGGUCACCUGGCGUGUUCAGCAUGGAGAAGAAUGAGGGCAAGCCUCAUCGCAGGCUACAGCUUCCUCGGGAGGGGCAGCGGAGGGGUAGCUCCGAUCUCUGUUCUCUGCGACCGGUGACAGGACCCGAGGGAACGGCUGCAGGAAUCUCCACUGAAUUCAGCGCUUCAUUCCAGAUGUGGCCGAGGGAUGGAAACCUCAUGCAAAGUGCAAGGCUGACACCUGGAGGGGCUGCGAGAGGCAGACGGGGAGCCCGGAGCAGCCACAGAUCCUGCAACACAGCUGGCCUUCUGACUCCCAAAAUAUCACUGAUGCUCAGCUCAUCCUGAUGAACCUACUAAACCACUGAAAACAUUCUCCACCCAGACGAGCCUAAAGGAUAUUUUCUGGACUCUUGUUCCUGCAAAGCAGCUUGGCACCAGUAUGGGGAAGUGUCC